This 322-nucleotide ribosomal RNA is filed under the name uncultured Actinomycetes bacterium. RNAcentral describes it as "bacterial SSU rRNA". It matches the Rfam family "Bacterial small subunit ribosomal RNA", at positions 28 to 351 of the family's 1533-position model. The record is from RNAcentral. Lineage: Bacteria; Bacillati; Actinomycetota; Actinomycetes.
GACGAACGCUGGCGGCGUGCUUAACACAUGCAAGUCGAGCGGAAAGGCCACUUCGGUGGUACUCGAGCGGCGAACGGGUGAGUAACACGUGAGUAAUCUGCCCUUGGCUUUGGGAUAGCCACCGGAAACGGUGAUUAAUACCGAAUAUGCACUACUUCUCGCAUGGGUUGUGGUGGAAAGUUUUUCGGCCAGGGAUGUGCUCGCGGCCUAUCAGCUUGAUGGUGAGGUAAUGGCUCACCAUGGCUUCGACGGGUAGCCGGCCUGAGAGGGUGACCGGCCACACUGGGGACUGAGACACGGCCCAGACUCCUACGGGUGGCAG